Long non-coding RNA from Sceloporus undulatus (fence lizard), 1104 nucleotides. RefSeq lists it as uncharacterized. NCBI's taxonomy places the organism in Eukaryota, Metazoa, Chordata, Lepidosauria, Squamata, Phrynosomatidae. The transcript has 3 exons. The record is from RefSeq and is a predicted model, not a curated record.
UGAAAACUUGAAAGGACCAUCUUCCAUUUAAAAGCCUCUUGUGUUUCAUCACUGCUUCUUCCAUCUUUUUCUCAUCAAAGAAAAUCAGAUUAAGGAAGGAAAGAUGGGAUAGCUGUGUAAUGCCUUUUGAUUCACAGCACUGGGAGCCAUCCUUAGAUGGCUGAAAGUGCUACAAGAAAUGAGGCAGGUAAUUCAUAUGGAUAUUUGUGUACAGGUGAACACCUCUGAUUGAUUCCUGGAAAAUCACCAUGGAUCCCAUCCUGGGAGAAAUGUGAGGGCAAGAAACAAAAAGUUACAUGGAGGAAAGAAAAGUAGACAUGGAAUUCAAGUGUCAAACAUUUCAAGUGAGAGUAAUAUUGUGAAUGCAGUCAUGCAAAGAAUCCAUACAAAGUUCCCAUGAAGCUGGUCUCCUAUACAGAACUUGAUCAAUCUCUGAGCAGGUUACCUUCAUUAAAUUACAGCUGCUACAUCAUGCACCUUCAAAACCAUGCCUUGGCCAGCUGUAGUAUUUUAAAAUGAAACUCAACUAUACAAUAUCCCAAACUCUCAGAACUGAACCAAUUUUUAAAUGAUUUAAUUCACUGGUUCAUAUUUAGUAAGCUGCUUCUUACAAUGAAAUCACUUCAUUACUUUCCCACAGAUGCCACAAAGAACUCCAGAUGAUUAAAUUUUACAUUUUCUGGAUUCUAGCCAUCAAAGUAAACGGUCAGUAGCUUUAUUUCUGUACGUCAAGAAGCUCUAAGGAGCUUUUUCCUGGCAGCUGCUCACCACAACAGGAUAUUCUGGUCCUUUAAAUGAAGCUGGUGUCUACCCACAAUUGAAUCUGUUCAGAUCAGAGGGAAAAUAUUCUAGGAGACAUCGAUUCAGGAUGACCCAUGAGAGUCUUAAAAUAGACAGCAAGAACAGUUUGUAGAAAGACAGACCAGUCAGGUAACACUGCUCCCACUUUCCUCAUAACAGAGAGAUGAUAGAAGCAGUAGAAACAACAGAUUCCAGAGGAACAGAAAUGUUCUCACUCAAUGCAGCACAGAGCGGUUGCUUAGGAAUAAGAUCAGGAAGCAUUUCAUACAACAAGAUGUUGAAAUAAACCCUUUUGCAGUCAAG